GACGAACGCUGGCGGCGUGCUUAACACAUGCAAGUCGAACGGAAAGGCCCUGCUUUUGUGGGGUGCUCGAGUGGCGAACGGGUGAGUAACACGUGAGUAACCUGCCCUUGACUUUGGGAUAACUUCAGGAAACUGGGGCUAAUACCGGAUAGGAGCUCCUGCUGCAUGGUGGGGGUUGGAAAGUUUCGGCGGUUGGGGAUGGACUCGCGGCUUAUCAGCUUGUUGGUGGGGUAGUGGCUUACCAAGGCUUUGACGGGUAGCCGGCCUGAGAGGGUGACCGGCCACAUUGGGACUGAGGGACGGCCCAGUCGCCUACGGGAGGCAGCAGUGGAGAAUAUUGCACAAUGGGCGGAAGCCUGAUGCAGCAAUGCCGCGUGCGGGAUGACGGCCUUCGGGUUGUAAACCGCUUUCGCCUGUGACGAAGCGUGAGUGACGGUAAUGGGUAAAGAAGCACCGGCUAACUACGUG
Molecule: ribosomal RNA, 468 nt
Filed under: uncultured bacterium
Lineage: Bacteria
Description: partial 16S ribosomal RNA
Rfam family: Bacterial small subunit ribosomal RNA
Source: RNAcentral